UUAUUCCCGGAAACUGCAUUGAAUACUAUCAUGCUCGAGGGUUGGAGGGGGGACUGGAAUUCUCGGUGUAGCAGUGAAAUGCGUAGAUAUCGAGAGGAACACCAGUGGCGAAGGCGAGUCCCUGGACAACUCCUGACACUGAGGCACGAAAGCUAGGGGAGCAAACAGGAUUAGAUACCCUGGUAGUCCUAGCCGUAAACGGUGCAUAUUUGCUGUAAAAGGAAUCGACCCCUUUUGUGGCGUAGCCAACGCGUUAAAUAUGCCGCCUGGGAAGUACGGUCGCAAGAUUAAAACUCAAAGGAAUUGAUCGGGGGCCCGCACAAG
Molecule: ribosomal RNA, 324 nt
Filed under: uncultured bacterium
Lineage: Bacteria
Description: bacterial SSU rRNA
Rfam family: Bacterial small subunit ribosomal RNA
Source: RNAcentral